AUUGAACGCUGGCGGCAUGCCUUACACAUGCAAGUCGAACGGCAGCACGGGUGCUUGCACCUGGUGGCGAGUGGCGAACGGGUGAGUAAUACAUCGGAACAUGUCCUGUAGUGGGGGAUAGCCCGGCGAAAGCCGGAUUAAUACCGCAUACGAUCUACGGAUGAAAGCGGGGGACCUUAGGGCCUCGCGCUAUAGGGUUGGCCGAUGGCUGAUUAGCUAGUUGGUGGGGUAAAGGCCUACCAAGGCGACGAUCAGUAGCUGGUCUGAGAGGACGACCAGCCACACUGGGACUGAGACACGGCCCAGACUCCUACGGGAGGCAGCAGUGGGGAAUUUUGGACAAUGGGCGAAAGCCUGAUCCAGCAAUGCCGCGUGUGUGAAGAAGGCCUUCGGGUUGUAAAGCACUUUUGUCCGGAAAGAAAUCCUUGGCCCUAAUACGGUCGGGGGAUGACGGUACCGGAAGAAUAAGCACCGGCUAACUACGUG
RNAcentral lists this ribosomal RNA (486 nucleotides) under uncultured bacterium. Its description in RNAcentral is "partial 16S ribosomal RNA". It matches the Rfam family "Bacterial small subunit ribosomal RNA", at positions 30 to 507 of the family's 1533-position model. The record is from RNAcentral.